Molecule: ribosomal RNA, 1471 nt
Filed under: uncultured Chloroflexota bacterium
Lineage: Bacteria; Bacillati; Chloroflexota
Description: bacterial SSU rRNA
Rfam family: Bacterial small subunit ribosomal RNA
Source: RNAcentral
UGAUCCUGGCUCAGGAUGAACGCUGGCGGCGUGCUUAAUACAUGCAAGUCGAACGGACGUAGCAAUACGUUAGUGGCGACCGGGUGCGUAACACGUAGCUGAUCUGCCCCUCAGCGGGGGACAACAUGCCGAAAGGCGUGCUAAUACCGCAUGAACUAGGGGUGAUCAGAUAGCCCUUGAGAAAACUUACGACGGGCUGAGGGAGGGGACUGCGGCUCAUCAGGUAGUUGGUGGGGUAACGGCUCACCAAGCCAACGACGAGUAGGGGACCUGAGAGGGUGACCCCCCACACUGGAGCUGACACACGGUCCAGACUCCUACGGGAGGCAGCAGUAAGGAAUAUUGGGCAGUGGGCGAAAGCCUGACCCAGCAACGCCGCGUGGAGGAUGAAGGCUUUCGGGAUCGUAAACUCCUUUUGAGAGGGAUCGAGGAAGGACGGUACCUCUCGAAUCAAGUGACCGGCUAACUACGUGCCAGCAGCCGCGGUAAUACGUAGGUCACAGAGCGUUAUUCCGGGAUUUAACUGGGCGUAAAGGCGGUGUGGCAGGGCUGUUAGGUAAGUGGGUGUAUGAAAGCGCUCGGCUUAACCCGGGCGAGGUUAUGCCCAGACUGCCUAGCUAGAGGCAGCAAGAGGGACAUGGAAUUUCCGGGUGUAGUGGUGAAAUGCGUAGAUAUCCGGAGGAACUCCAGAGGCGAAGGCGAUGUCCUGGUGCUGACCUGACGCUCAGACACGAAAGCACGGGGAGCGAACGGGAUUAGAAACCCCGGUAGUCCGUGCCGUAAACGAUGCAGACUAGGCGUCGGCGGUCUCAACCCCGUCGGUGUCGUAGCUAACGCGUUAAGUCUGCCGCCUGGGGACUACGGUCGCAAAGAUUAAAACUCAAAGGAAUUGACGGGGGCCCGCACAAGCAGCGGAGCGUGUGGUUUAAUUCGAGGCUACACGAAGAACCUUACCCGGGUUUGACAUGCUAGAUGCAGUGGCGUGAAAGCGUCGCGACCUUCGAGAGCUCUGCACAGGUGCUGCAUGGCUGUCGUCAGCUUCGUGCCGUGAGAGUGUUUAAGGUUAAAUUCUGUAACGAGCGCAACCCUCGGGUCUAAUUACAAGGUGUCUAGACCAACUGCCCGCGUUGAGCAGGGAGGAAGGUGGGGAUGACGUCAAGUCAGCAUGGCCUUUAUGUCCGGGGCUACACACACGCUACAAUGGUCGGUACAAUGGGUCGCCAAGCGGUAACGCGGAGCCAAUCCAGUGAAAGCCGAUCCCAGUUCGGAUUGUGGGCUGCAACCCGCCCACAUGAAGUUGGAGUUGCUAGUAAACGCCGGUCAGCUAUACAGCGGUGAAUACGUUCCCGGGCCUUGUACACACCGCCCGUCACGUCAUGGGAGCUGGUCACGCCUGAAACCGGUGGGCUAACCGCAAGGAGGCAGCCGUCUAGGGCAGGGCUGGUGACUAGGACGAAGUCGUAACAAGGUA